CCCUUAGAUGUUCUGGGCCGCACGCGUGCUACACUGAGUGGAUCAGCGGGUCAGGUUGCGCGAAAGUGUUUCCUAAUCUUUAAAUCCGCUCGUGAUGGGGAUUGACGGUUGCAAUUUUCCGUCAUGAACGAGGAAUACCUUGUAAGCGCGGGUCAUCAUCCCGCGCUGAAUACGUCCCUGCCCUUUGUACACACCGCCCGUCGCUCCUACCGAUUGAGUGGUCCGGUGAGGCUUUGGGAUCUGGGCGGAAAGAGCGUUUCGCUGUUUCUGCCCGGAAAACUCAGUCGAACCUUAUCAUUUAGAGGAAGGAGAAGUCGGAACA
Molecule: ribosomal RNA, 322 nt
Filed under: uncultured eukaryote
Lineage: Eukaryota
Description: partial 18S ribosomal RNA
Rfam family: Eukaryotic small subunit ribosomal RNA
Source: RNAcentral